Molecule: ribosomal RNA, 280 nt
Filed under: Pavocosa sp. NM-2005
Lineage: Eukaryota; Metazoa; Arthropoda; Arachnida; Araneae; Lycosidae
Description: partial 12S ribosomal RNA
Source: RNAcentral
UCAAACCUAUUUAUAAUGGCGGCAUUUUAUCUUAUUAGAGGAACCUGUUUUUUAAUCGAUAAUCCACGUUAAAUUUCACUUAAAUUGAAAAUUUAUAUACCGCCAUCUAAAAAACUAAUUUAAUAAUAAUAUUUAAAAAAAUAAAUAAAAAGUUAGGUCAAGGUGUAAUCAAUAUUUAAGUAAAUAAUGGGUUACAUUAAAAUAAAUUUAAGGACUUUUUUAUAAAAAUAUCUUUCGAAAUAGGAUUUAAAAGUAAUAAUUAAAUAAUAAUAUAUUUGUG